GGAAGGCCUUUGGGUUGUAAACCUCUUUUCUCAGGGAAGAAGAUCUGACGGUACCUGAGGAAUAAGCAUCGGCUAACUCCGUGCCAGCAGCCGCGGUAAUACGGAGGAUGCAAGCGUUAUCCGGAAUUAUUGGGCGUAAAGCGUCCGCAGGUGGUCUUUCAAGUCUGCUGUCAAAGACCAGAGCUUAACUCUGGGCAGGCGGUGGAAACUGAGAGACUAGAGUUCGGUAGGGGUAGCGGGAAUUCCCAGUGUGGCGGUGAAAUGCGUAGAUAUUGGGAAGAACAUCGGUGGCGAAGGCGUG
This 301-nucleotide ribosomal RNA is filed under the name uncultured cyanobacterium. RNAcentral describes it as "bacterial SSU rRNA". It matches the Rfam family "Bacterial small subunit ribosomal RNA", at positions 409 to 725 of the family's 1533-position model. Lineage: Bacteria; Bacillati; Cyanobacteriota. The record is from RNAcentral.